AGUUCUGUUUUUACGGUCUUCUUGUGGAUUAAUUUUGCCGACAGGCUUCCGGAUUAUUAUCAAAAGCAAACCGAGACAGUGAUUAAAAAAACUAAAAUCGAGUCAAGAUGAUAUUUAGGCCCUUUCCCAUUCCUUUGCUCUAAAGAAAAUCUCAGCCCUAGCCCUCGCUGUUGCGCGUGCACGCACCGUGGAGCAAUGUCCCAAUACCACUUUAAGGUAGCUUUAAGGGGUAAGGGGGAGGGCUAACAUCCCCUCAAAAUUUAGAUUUUCGAUGGGCACCCUCAAAGCGAUUCAGUUCUGACUUGCUCCCACAAUACCUUGCGAGAAAACGGAAAAUCAAGAAAUAUCCCAGACAAGAUGGAGGACGAAAAGAUGCGACAGGAUUGGAAAAACACAAAUGACUUCGUUGAGUCCACUGCCACCAGCCCCCCCCACCUCUCCCUCAUACUCCUCCACCCCAGGCACCUCUUCCCCCACCCCAGACACCCCUUCCAAGAGGAGAGUGCCAGGGGGCAGGCGAGGCAUGAGGAGAGCGAGGCAAAGUUGGCGGAAUGGUGGAGAAGAUGUGAUUCUCCACCAUUCUCUCAAAAGCUGAGAGAGAGUGUGUGUGUGUGUGUGUGUGUGUGUGUGUGUGUGUGUGUGUGUGUGUGUUUUUAGGUGUGCGUGUGUGUGUAUUUUUAGAUGCGUGUGUGUGUAUUUUUAGAUGUGUGGUUCAGUGUUUCUUAUUUAAAUAAAGUGUUUAUUCUAAAGUGUUCUUGUUCAUAACCGAUUAUUAUCUAAGGGUGCACUCACACUAGGCCAUCUGUCCGUGGCCGUGGCCGUCUUAGCACCUAACCGUGCUCAAAUCUGCCAGUGUGAGUGUGGCCAGUCUGGCUAAUACCACCUUUAACAUGUAGCUAAGUGACAUUCAAAAUACAGGUAUAUUACGAGGGACAAAUAGUAUUAUUAUUUUUUUAACACUUUAUUUAAACAUGCCAAUUACAAAAUAUAAAUGGCCUACCAUUUCAGGUUAAACAUCUUUACAAUGGGUCUUGCUCGUUGCCCGAGAUAAUGGCAGCCAUUCUGUCUCUUGUAACAUUACCAGGGGUCUGGUUAUCUGCUAGGGGGCACGGGGAGGCCAUGAUGACGUCACAGGGUAGGGUUGUCCCAUUUGGUAGGGGAUCGGUUAGGGGUAGCAAUGAGGGGUAGCAAUGAGCAUGAGCAAUGAGGGUUAGGGUUGAGAUGUAGGGUUGAGACAGUGAGCAAAGAAACGGGAUUGGGCCUUAAGUAGCUUAUUCCUGACAACUUAACAGUGUUCACUAUUUGAGAGAAAAUUAUUGAGGCUUUAAGGAAAAAAAAUCCAUACCAGUAUGGAAAAAAAGUAGAGUUAAUGGGGGGCCCUGUUCCAGGGGAUUCCCUUUGUCAUUCAUAACACCCCCUGAUCCUCUGCUAGGGGCCUCUUGGAUCAGAGCAGGCCCCCUAGGCUGCCCGGCGUCCUAAGGCCCCCUUCUAAACGGGUGAAAACUAUAUUUUCCUCUCUGUUGUCCUUGGCAGCGUUUUAGGAGUUUCACCGUAAUGACGGACUCAUUGCAAAAACGCAUCUAUCUCUAUAAACGCUGUGGUACAUAUUCAAGGCAUUUAUGUGGCGCUGGUUCUCGGAGUAUGCAGAGUAUGAUAGCCUGCGCGCUGUAUACAGUCGAGGAGGAGAAAGAAGUUAUUAUACCUUGUAGAUGGAGCAGAAAAUACUUUUUAACGUUCAGUUAGUAAUUACUUCUUGUUAAAUUUCAAGAUAAUAAUUAAAAAAUAUGUUUUUCGACGCAAUUUUUUGUUUAUAUAUAUAUAUAUAUAUAUAUAUAUAUAUAUAUUAUAUAUACACUGCUCAAAAAAAUAAAGGGAACACUAAGAAAUGCCACCCCACACCAUUACU
Long non-coding RNA from Gadus morhua (Atlantic cod), 1906 nucleotides. NCBI's taxonomy places the organism in Eukaryota, Metazoa, Chordata, Actinopteri, Gadiformes, Gadidae. The record is from Ensembl.